RNAcentral lists this ribosomal RNA (431 nucleotides) under uncultured bacterium. RNAcentral's name for it is "bacterial SSU rRNA". It matches the Rfam family "Bacterial small subunit ribosomal RNA", at positions 28 to 507 of the family's 1533-position model. The record is from RNAcentral.
GAUGAACGCUAGCGGCAGGCUUAAUACAUGCAAGUCAAGGGGGUAGCAAUACAACCGGCGCACGGGUGCGUAACGCGUGGGAAUCUGCCCCUCGGUUCGGAAUAACACAGAGAAAUUUGUGCUAAUACCGGAUAAUGACGAAAGUCCAAAGAUUUAUCGCCGAGGGAUGAGCCCGCGUAAGAUUAGCUAGUUGGUGGGGUAAUGGCCUACCAAGGCGACGAUCUUUAGCUGGUCUGAGAGGAUGAUCAGCCACACUGGGACUGAGACACGGCCCAGACUCCUACGGGAGGCAGCAGUGGGGAAUAUUGGACAAUGGGCGAAAGCCUGAUCCAGCAAUGCCGCGUGAGUGAUGAAGGCCUUAGGGUUGUAAAGCUCUUUUACCAGGGAUGAUAAUGACAGUACCUGGAGAAUAAGCUCCGGCUAACUCCGUG